RNAcentral lists this transfer RNA (87 nucleotides) under Bacteroidota bacterium. Its description in RNAcentral is "tRNA-Ser". It matches the Rfam family "tRNA". Rfam says of the family: Transfer RNA (tRNA) molecules are approximately 80 nucleotides in length. Lineage: Bacteria; Pseudomonadati; Bacteroidota. The record is from RNAcentral.
GGAAAGGUGCAAGAGUGGCUUAACUGGCACGCCUGGAAAGCGUGUGUACCUGAAAGGGUACCGAGAGUUCGAAUCUCUCCCUUUCCG